This 490-nucleotide ribosomal RNA is filed under the name uncultured bacterium. Its description in RNAcentral is "partial 16S ribosomal RNA". It matches the Rfam family "Bacterial small subunit ribosomal RNA", at positions 30 to 507 of the family's 1533-position model. The record is from RNAcentral.
AUUGAACGCUGGCGGCAGGCCUAACACAUGCAAGUCGAACGGUAACAGAAAGCAGCUUGCUGCUUUUCUGACGAGUGGCGGACGGGUGAGUAAUGUCUGGGAAACUGCCUGAUGGAGGGGGAUAACUACUGGAAACGGUAGCUAAUACCGCAUAACGCCGCAAGACCAAUGAGGUGGACCUUCGGGCCUCUUGCCAUCGGAUGUGCCCAGAUGGGAUUAGCUUGUAGGUGGGGUAACGGCUCACCUAGGCGACGAUCCCUAGCUGGUCUGAGAGGAUGACCGGCCACAUUGGAACUGAGACACGGUCCAGACUCCUACGGGAGGCAGCAGUGGGGAAUAUUGCACAAUGGGCGAAAGCCUGAUGCAGCCAUGCCGCGUGUAUGAAGAAGGCCUUCGGGUUGUAAAGUACUUUCAGCGGGGAGGAAGGGAGUAAAGUUAAUACCUUUGCUCAUUGACGUUACCCGAAGAAGAAGCACCGGCUAACUCCGUG